RNAcentral lists this long non-coding RNA (741 nucleotides) under Cucumis sativus (cucumber). RNAcentral's name for it is "long non-coding RNA (CSAT_LNC001058)". The record is from RNAcentral. Lineage: Eukaryota; Viridiplantae; Streptophyta; Magnoliopsida; Cucurbitales; Cucurbitaceae.
AGGGGAAAAUAAAUUGUUAAAGUUCUAUUGGGACACCCUGUACAGUCGCAGUCUUGUGAUCCCGUAGGAUACACAUUUCAGUCUAACGCCCCGAAGGACGUACAUAUCAGUCUAACGCCCCGAGAGACGUACAUAUCAGUCUAACGCCCGAGAGACGUACAUAUCAGUCUAACGCCCGAGGGACGUUCAUAUCAGUCUAACGCCCCGAGGGACGUUCAUAUCAGUCUAGUGUUCUGCAGAAACACAUAUCAGUCAAAUGCUCCCGAAGGUGCACAAUAAAUUGGUGAUCCCGUGGGACACCUACAAGGUAAACAUCCCAAUACAACCUAACAAUUUAUCCCCUCAUUCCAUUCAACCCAUCUUUCAGUUACUUCAAAUCACAAAGUCCUUUCUUUCAACAUCCUAACAGUCAACUUAUUUUACUACAAUCAUAUGUCUGUCAGUAAAAUGCUAAUACAUCAGUCAAUCCACUAUACAGUCAAGUCAAUACACCCCUCAGUUCACCAGUACAAACCACAGUUCAGUAUAAUCCACAUCCAACCGAAACAAAUUCACUAGUUCACAUCCAAUCUUUAUACAGCACAAUCUAUUAAUAUCAUCAUGUACACAUAAGCAUAAUUUCAGUCAUUCACAUGUAUACUUUCGGCAAUCCACAUCAAUUCACACAUCAAUGUAUAUAUAUAUUGUUUCCAGUCAAAUACAACAUACACUAAACAUUUAGUCUGCAAUCAAACAUGUACA